AGCAAAUCAAGAGGCAGUGUAAAGGUUUGAUUAAGCAAAACUUAAUUAAGAAUGACUCACUUGUAUGAGAAUCAUCCCUGAUCAGGAGCCUUUUAUUCUUCAUUUCUGUAAGGUUUUGCUUGUUGUGACCAACAUGAAAAUUAGGAGAAGUAUAUUAAUGCCAUAUAUUAUUGAAUGGGCGUGCAACAAUUUUGAUGUGUAUUGUCAUAGUGCAAUCAAAGUAAGCACAACAUUUGUUGGUCGAGGUGCUGUUAGCGAUAUUAAUUUCAUAGAAUAACAUUCUUGCAUGGAAUGGAUUUUCUUGUCUUCAAUCUUUCAUGGAUUACUUUUUUGUUUUAUUAAAUGGAUACUUACUUGUUGCUUAGCCACUGACUGGAUCCCUUCUCUUUGUAGAGAUCAAGCGAUGUUCAAGCAG
This 415-nucleotide unclassified non-coding RNA is filed under the name Hevea brasiliensis (rubber tree). Lineage: Eukaryota; Viridiplantae; Streptophyta; Magnoliopsida; Malpighiales; Euphorbiaceae. The record is from RNAcentral.